GAUGAACGCUGGCGGCGUGCCUAAUACAUGCAAGUCGAGCGAACAGACGAGGAGCUUGCUCCUCUGACGUUAGCGGCGGACGGGUGAGUAACACGUGGAUAACCUACCUAUAAGACUGGGAUAACUUCGGGAAACCGGAGCUAAAACCGGAUAAUAUAUUGAACCGCAUGGUUCAAUAGUGAAAGACGGUUUUGCUGUCACUUAUAGAUGGAUCCGCGCCGCAUUAGCUAGUUGGUAAGGUAACGGCUUACCAAGGCAACGAUGCGUAGCCGACCUGAGAGGGUGAUCGGCCACACUGGAACGGAGACACGGUCCAGACUCCUACGGGAGGCAGCAGUAGGGAAUCUUCCGCAAUGGGCGAAAGCCUGACGGAGCAACACCGCGUGAGUGAUGAAGGUCUUCGGAUCGUAAAACUCUGUUAUUAGGGAAGAACAAAUGUGUAAGUAACUAUGCACGUCUUGACGGUACCUAAUCAGAAAGCCACGGCUAACUACGUG
This 497-nucleotide ribosomal RNA is filed under the name uncultured bacterium. RNAcentral's name for it is "partial 16S ribosomal RNA". It matches the Rfam family "Bacterial small subunit ribosomal RNA", at positions 28 to 507 of the family's 1533-position model. The record is from RNAcentral.